Cygnus olor (mute swan) is the source of this 4080-nucleotide long non-coding RNA. RefSeq lists it as uncharacterized. NCBI's taxonomy places the organism in Eukaryota, Metazoa, Chordata, Aves, Anseriformes, Anatidae. The transcript is spliced from 3 exons. The record is from RefSeq and is a predicted model, not a curated record.
ACAAACGGACGGUCGCUGUUAGCUGGGAAGGAAACUGCUGGUGCUCGGAACAUCAACUGGUAUGCGCGGCCUGACAUCCUUCCGUACGGUGAUAAUUCCGCACGACUGUAUCGUAAGGCAGAUUUAGUCUUCCUGUUACCACCACUGAACACGGCCGCGAUUCUGGAGAAAUCAAAUCCCGUGAAGUUUGCUCCAUGCCAGGCGUGUUGCUGAUGAUGGCACAGACAGAAGCCACAGAGGGGUUUGCACUGAGCAGCCCCUUCGACUCUACUCACUUCUUUGUUUCAGGACAACCACCGUGCGCCCACACCUGCAAAUUCCAGGCUGACAACAAGGACCACAGCAGAACAACCCUCCAAACGGGCAUUUCAGGGUCUGUGAACAACUCUCAAGAACGAAGGCAGUACAGACUAAAAGCUGCCCCUCCAAGAACACAGCAAAGGGCGCUGGGGUCAGAAUAGCUGUGUUGGAGCCGGAGCUCUCGGGCUUUGCAGCAGCUCCUUUCCCUUCUCUGCACCUCCGUGCUGUCCUCCCGUGUUCCUGCUCCAGAGGGCGCGGAUUUCACACGGGUGCAAUCAUUUUGUGGGGGCUGCAAUCUGUUUCCUCUUUAUUUGACCUACUCUGGCACAGCCCUCGGUGGUGACAACAGCACUGAUACAGAACAGGACCUGCCCGGGACGCCGACUCCUCCUGCGCACGGGCCGCAGGUAUGCACUAUCUCAGUUAUGUCAACGUCGAGGAAAGCACAUUGCUUUGCCCGUGCAGUCUAAAGAAAGCAACGGCGUGGGGACAGGAAGGCUGCGUAAAUCACGAGGCUGUCGGGCUGGGAGCCCCUCGCUAAAGGCUCGCACAAUGGGGCCCCAGCGCAGCCGAAGCCGCCGGGCUUUCCCACAAUACAAACAGCCACCAUGCAGCGUCUGGCAGGCAUUUUGUAACUUAGAAAAUGAUUUAGAAAGGCUUUGCCUCCUUUUUCCUUUUUUUUUUUUUUUUUUUUUUAAAUGUGUCAAUAGAAAACAAAUAUGAGGACAGUUCGGAGUACAAUUAGGGCUUCGCCCCACCCAGCUGCAGCUGCUCCCAGCUGAGAUCCAUAAAUUCUGGGGGAAGAGCAAAUUACGGACAAACACCAGUUAUGCCAACACACGAAGGGAAAGGAAUCUCCGGUGCUGCUGCCCUGGGAGGAGGGAGCUUUCCCCCAUGGACACCCACGGCAGCAAGCUCAAACCUUCCCUGGGCAUGGACUCAGACCUCAAGAUCCAACCCAACAACGUUUUUUGUUCAGUGGCUGAGAUCGGCUUGCACACGAGUCACGAUUUUCCCAUUUCCCCAGCUUAGCAGUUAAUUUUGGCAGGAUUUCUGCAAACCGGAUUGCAGGGUCUUGGGAUAACGGGCCUCAGAGUCCCAGUCAGGGAAGAAGUCUUGUGUCUGACAAGCGAGGACAGUGCUCGACUCUGAGGGCCAGUGACUGACUUAGAUGGAAAAUUUCACUGCGCAGCCUCAAUAUCCUCAAGUCAAGCUCCAGUUGCAAGAGCCAAGCACAAGGAAACAGAUAAACAGGUACAGAUACACAAGGAUUAUCCAACCGCCUGUGAAUUUCUUGUGGAAGAUAACAGCACAUACAAAUAAGCUUUCUAUUCACAGGAGUGUUUUCAAAUUAAUUGGAAAUAGAUAAAAAUCAACGUCCUGCGCUCUGCCGCAGUGAUUUCUUCACACAAAAUCCAUUAUUUGUGGGAGGAAAAAAAAACUAAGGAAACCGUGGUGUGAAGUGAACUUCCUUUUUCCACUGUGCUCAUACGCAGUCAGUGAAUAGCUCCCAAGUUUACAGAGCGGCUCACAGAACUCUCAAAGGCCCGUCGGAGGCAAUACGGGCUUUUCUUCGUCUGUAUUUCAGAGACAAAAGCGCCCGCUGUCACUUCAGCAGACGUUAUUUUCCUUUUAAACCAAGACACGUAUGCGAGCAGCACUGGUUUUCUAGGAAGCACACCCCAAGAUCACCCCGAUAGGAAUCAUCAUCUCUGGUAAGGGAAAGCAUGGUGCAGGAACCCCCGGAGUUCCUGUCUGGGGCACGUUACCUGACUGCAAUCUAUUUCUGUUCCAGCCCGUGGUUUGACAUGAAAUUUAUUCCGUCUAUAUUACAGUAACUGGUUCUAAAAGUUUUUUUUAUUCCUCAUUAUUUGCUUCUUUCUCUAGAAAGAGAGAAGAGGGAUAAGGGGAAUAAAUAAGGGGGAGGCCAGAAGAAGGGAGCUGGCCGGGCGGUGGGAGAGCCGACCUGGGUUCCUGCUUUGCCCCAGCCCCUGGUGAGCUGCAGCGAGCCACCGGGACCGGACUCACAGCAGGACCCCGGCUCCUCUCCUGCCAUCUGCACGUGUCCCAGCCAAACCCCGAAGUGCCUCGCAUCCCAGGCCUUCUCUAGCAAAAUUUGCCAGCUGAUGGAGCCCUGCUGUCAGAUAUUCUCUGUAGCGCUUUGUUUUCUUCCUGAUGUGACGACACGCAAGCUUCUACGCAGAUCUGUACCCAAGAGUUUAACCCGAAGCAAAGCGAGUGGCAGGGCCCCUGUGUAACGGUGACAGCAGAACUUGCUGAUGCUCCCUCGUAACGCAGCGACUUCACAGGUGGAGUACAUGUUAAGGAGAUUUGGGUACAAUGCAAGUCUCCUUAAAAUGGUUCGGGCUUACCCCUGAGGUGAGCGAGGCUGUGACCUGGCAUCAGGCUUCCUGAACUCACCUUAUGCUGCAAGCCACGAAGAGCCCAGAAGAGCCACGAUCUAAAAGCAAGGGCACCCCGCAGAGACCCCCAGGCUAGGGAAGGAACCAACGCCGGCGAGCCUGAGACAGGCAAGUGCCUUGUUCCCAUCCCUUCCCAGCUGCGUUUAAAAAGGAAGUGGGGACUCUGCCCUGGUUUUUAAGGGAAAAGGCUUUCCUCAGAGUGUCACUCUGCAAGGCACCAAAGCGCUUGGCCCAGCUUUACAAAGGCAGACCCUGCACAGCUGCCACAGCUCCUGCUCGGCAGCACGUCCCCUCCCCGACACGCGCUGCCAGCCCUCGCAGGGCCACGCGCUGCCCCUCCAGCGGUGCCAGCACCACGUCCACAGCCUUCUGUGGAAUAGGGAGGGACAAAUCCAGCGAAAAACGUAAUCCCAAAGGCCACUCAGCACCAGUGAGAACGGGGAAACUGUUUAUGGCAGUGCUUCUGCUGGGAAGACGCACAAGGCCCACCGAAGUUAGCAGGGUCGACCUCCUCCUGCGUGAGCCCGAGUGAGGGAGCCCCUCAGGGACGCCGGGAUUUCCAGGAACGUGGCUGCCCUCCUCUCCUCCCAUUGUGGAGCUGUGAGUGGAGGUGAGGGCAGGGCUGAGGGGAAGCGAUUCCCCGCAGCUCUCACGCAGCCCCACCCACAGCAGACAGGGAAAGGCCUCAGUUUAGGUCCCGCCGCACACAGAGCAGACAGACGUUGACUUCGAUGCGACCCCGUCCGCAGGCGAGGCUCAGCCACACACGGGCAGAACCGCAGAGGCUCCGGCGGAAGCACGAGGACGCGCGUUCAGGGCACGAGCCCGUUCCUCCGACUGCCGCCUGCUCAAACCGGCCUCGCAUAAAGGACCGGGGCUGCAGACGACAGUACGACAUCGGCUGGCCCGGGAUAGAAAAGAACCAGCUCCCUGAGCUCCACCGCGGCUGCCUGGCGACACAACGGCUCUGGGUCUGCAAAGGGAGUGAGCAGGGAGCUCACUGCCAGGGUGGGUACCAUUGGAAAACAAAUCCAUGUCCUGCCUGUCUUGAAACUUGUCUCCAGUACUGCAGGGUGAGAUUACUGUACUCAGCUUGGUGUUUCCCACGCCAAGCCCUCUUCCCAAGCUCUGUUCCCACUUUGAGUGCACAGGAUGGAGGAUGCUCAGCAGCAUGGGAAGUGCUCGUGAGGGCUCCAAACCCAGCGCACACACAGGAGACAAAUCCAAAUUUUUCCCUGGCUCACUUAAGCGCGUGCCUGGUUUGAAGUGAAUAAAUAACACCUGAAAACCUUUACUGUUUAGCCUUGUUUCCAAACAGUGUGCUGGAUCGUGGUGUCUAUUACAGCUUGGUCCUGAG